Molecule: RNA transcript, 2236 nt
Organism: Cydia amplana
Lineage: Eukaryota; Metazoa; Arthropoda; Insecta; Lepidoptera; Tortricidae
Gene: VhaPPA1-1
Gene name: V-type proton ATPase 21 kDa proteolipid subunit c''
Exons: 2
Source: RefSeq, a predicted model, not a curated record
CUAGCAACACUCUUGUUGUCUCUGACAUCUUGUGAUCACAAGACUUCUAUCCUCUAGUUUUCUGUCAAGGCAAAAAUUGGGCGAGAAAAAGCCGUCCCUGCAGGGAUUCGUGUGUAAAAUAGCUCCAAUUUAGUGCAACACAACAUCAAGAUGAGGUACUUCUUAACUUAUUUGGCCGGGCUCAUAAUAGUCCUUGUGAUUCCCAUUUUCUCCAUGUACUAUUUAUUGAACGGAAAGGGUGAGCAAAUCAGCUUUGGAUGGUUCCUGGAGAAUACGUCGCCCUACAUGUGGGCGACGUUGGGCAUAGCCUUCGCCGUGUCACUGUCCGUGGUCGGCGCGGCGGCAGGUAUCCACACCGUUGGCGUGAGCAUAGUCGGUGGAGGUGUUAAGGCGCCCAGAAUCAAGACCAAGAACUUGAUCUCCGUUAUCUUCUGCGAGGCCGUGGCUAUCUACGGGCUGAUCACUGCCAUCGUGCUAUCUGGUAUGCUGGAAAAAUACCCUGAACCCUUGACAGACAUCAGUAUCAAGAGUCAAAACUACAUGGCUGGCUAUGUAAUGUUUGGAGCAGGAUUGGCUGUCGGCCUUGUAAACUUAUUCUGUGGUAUCGCUGUGGGAAUUGUUGGAUCUGGAGCGGCCCUCUCUGACGCAGCCAAUGCAGCACUUUUUGUGAAGAUCCUCAUUGUUGAAAUCUUUGGAUCCGCCAUUGGUCUAUUUGGGCUCAUUGUUGGUAUUUACAUGACAUCAAAAGUCAAAAUGGGUGCUGCUUAAGAAGACAAACUUAAAAUUAAGUGUGAGUACUAACAUACUUGUUGUAACUAUUGUAAUCCUAACUAUUUGCUAUUAUUAUAGUGUGAAACUGGUUUGAAGCACCUUUAGACUAAAAAAUGUAAGCUCUCCUAGUGUGCAAAAAUGUAUUAGAUACUAAUUGUAUAAGCACACAAUUUUGACUAUGGUUUUAUUUUAUUUUCAGUAUGCAACAGCACUGGAUCACCAGUAAAACCAAGUGUAAGACAAACAGUGCUGAGAAAAGUAUCCAAUCAAUGGUAAAUUAUCCAGUAUAGCUUGAAUUCAAUACUACCGCAGUGUUACUUGUAUUACUACGACCUAACUACUUUGAUGUGUUAUGUGAUGUCUAAACUUGUUAAAUAGAUGUAACUUCAUAUUUGUAAAAGAUACCUGACCCUGGCACUUCUACAAGAUUACAAUUUUGAAUAUAAAACCUCAUCUUACUUAAGUUGUUGCAUUUUGUGCCAAGGAUUCAGGUAUCUGCCAGAUCAUUUUAUUUGUGGAUAGAAUCAGUAUUUAGUUGGAGUGUUUUUGACAAUUUAACAGUGGACUUUUGAGUAACUAAGCUGAGCUGACUCUUAGGGGUUAUAGUGACUGGAUUCACAUUGAAUUAAAUAAUACAUGUCAUAUCAAAAAUGAUAUCAAACUUUUGUUAUGUAUAACUCAAACUAUACUUUAUGAACCUGUAUUGAUCCCGGGUUUUGAUAAUUAGUUCAAUGUGGUAUCUAGUCAGUGUUAAAGGCUUAACAUUCCAUGAACCUCAUGCAACUUGAAUAAGUGUUUAUUGGCCUCCCAGCAGCCACCCAUACAUGUACUGUACAUAAACUAAUUGGAGUAUAUAGCACAUUAAAAUUAAGGUUGUUUUCCAAACACUUUGUUAAGAUAUAUUAAAUGUAUUUUCAAUAUAAUAUAUUGUAUUGUAUGAGAUUAUCACUAGAUAUAUUGGAAGGUGUUAGAGAAGUUUCAUAUACCUGUUUGUCAUUAUCAUUAAAAUGUAUUUUCUUGAUGUAUUUAUUUGAAUAACAUUGCUUUAUUAAAUCUUUGUUCAUUACGAGUCACAAAGUGGAAAAGAACCUUAAUGCAGGAACUAGUUGUUUUGAUGCAGUUCAAUUUUAUUUUAUAAUUUAUGCAAUCAAAAUAAUACUUCAAUUGUAAAUAUGUUUGCUUUCCUAUUUCUUGUGAACACGCUAAUUUAUUAUAUCUACUUGUAAAGUAUCCCUUUAAACUUAACUAUAGGUGUUGAAGUUAAUGCCAUAGAUUGUGUAUGAGUAUUGAAAUUCAAUUUUUAUUGAUAACUUAAGGCACAAUGUCGUGUACACAGUUUUGGAAUUAAAAAAAUCGAAAGUAUUAUGUCAGUCCUAAGUAAACUACUGAUGUAAUUCUAAGUUAAUAUUUUAUUUGUGCAAAUGUAGAUAUUAUGUAUGUUGAUGAAUAAAUAGAUAAAAGUUGU